RNAcentral lists this ribosomal RNA (970 nucleotides) under uncultured marine bacterium. RNAcentral's name for it is "bacterial SSU rRNA". It matches the Rfam family "Bacterial small subunit ribosomal RNA", at positions 56 to 1072 of the family's 1533-position model. The record is from RNAcentral.
UGCAAGUCGAACGCAGUAGCAAUACUGAGUGGCGAACGGGUGAGUAUAAUGUGGGUAUCUGCCUUUUGGUUUGGAAUAACAUGAGGAAACUUGUGCUAAUACCGAAUAAGCCCUUACGGGGAAAGUUUUAACGCCGAAAGAUGAGCCCAUACUUGAUUAGCUAGUUGGUAGGGUAAAAGCCUACCAAGGCUACGAUCAAUAGCUGAUCUGAGAGGAUGAUCAGCCACAUUGGGACUGAGACACGGCCCAGACUCCUACGGGAGGCAGCAGUGGGGAAUUUUGCACAAUGGGGGAAACCCUGAUGCAGCGAUGCCGCGUGAGUGAAGAAGGCCCUUGGGUUGUAAAGCUCUUUCGUCGGGGAAGAAAAUGACUGUACCCGAAUAAGAAGGUCCGGCUAACUUCGUGCCAGCAGCCGCGGUAAUACGAAGGGACCUAGCGUAGUUCGGAAUUACUGGGCUUAAAGAGCUCGUAGGUGGUUAGAAAAGUUGGUGGUGAAAUCCCAAGGCUUAACCUUGGAACUGCCACCAAAACUUUUUGACUAGAGUAUGAUAGAGGUAAGUGGAAUUUCUAGUGUAGAGGUGAAAUUCGUAGAUAUUAGAAAGAACACCAAUUGCGAAGGCAGCUUUCUGGAUCAUUACUGACACUGAGGAGCGAAAGCAUGGGUAGCGAAGAGGAUUAGAUACCCUCGUAGUCCAUGCUGUAAACGAUGUGUGCUAGAUGUUGGAAACUUUGUUUUCAGUGUCGCAGCAAAAGCGUUAAGCACACCGCCUGGGGAGUACGACCGCAAGGUUAAAACUCAAGUGAAUUGACGGGGACCCGCACAAGCAGUGGAGCAUGUGGUUUAAUUCGAAGAUACGCGCAGAACCUUACCAACACUUGACAUGUUCGUCGCGAGCCUAAGAAAUUAGGUUCUUCAUUUAGUUGGUCGAACACAGGUGCUGCAUGGCUGUCGUCAGCUCGUGUCGUGAGA